UACAGAGGUGGCAAGCGUUGUUCGGAAUUACUGGGCGUAAAGGGUUCGUAGGUGGCCAACUCAGUCAGACGUGAAAUCCCUCAGCUCAACUGGGGAACUGCGUCUGAUACUAGAUGGCUCGAGUGCAGGAGAGGAACGCGGAAUUCCAGGUGUAGCGGUGAAAUGCGUAGAUAUCUGGAGGAACACCGGUGGCGAAGGCGGCGUUCUGGACUGCAACUGACACUGAGGAACGAAAGCCAGGGGAGCAAACGGG
This 253-nucleotide ribosomal RNA is filed under the name uncultured bacterium. Its description in RNAcentral is "partial 16S ribosomal RNA". It matches the Rfam family "Bacterial small subunit ribosomal RNA", at positions 524 to 776 of the family's 1533-position model. The record is from RNAcentral.